RNAcentral lists this non-coding RNA (21 nucleotides) under Caenorhabditis elegans. The record is from RNAcentral. Lineage: Eukaryota; Metazoa; Nematoda; Chromadorea; Rhabditida; Rhabditidae.
UUCUUAAUUUUUAUCCGCAGC